RNAcentral lists this ribosomal RNA (253 nucleotides) under uncultured bacterium. Its description in RNAcentral is "partial 16S ribosomal RNA". It matches the Rfam family "Bacterial small subunit ribosomal RNA", at positions 524 to 776 of the family's 1533-position model. The record is from RNAcentral.
UACGUAGGGGGCAAGCGUUGUCCGGAAUCAUUGGGCGUAAAGCGCGCGUAGGCGGCCCGGUAAGUCCGCUGUGAAAGUCCAGGGCUCAACCCUGGAAAGCCGGUGGAUACUGUCGGGCUAGAGUCCGGAAGAGGCGAGUGGAAUUCCUGGUGUAGCGGUGGAAUGCGCAGAUAUCAGGAGGAACACCGAUGGCGAAGGCAGCUCGCUGGGCCGGUACUGACGCUGAGGCGCGAAAGCGUGGGGAGCGAACAGG